GUUCAGCUGAAGAGUCCAAAAGCAGGACGAAACGCUCAUCCUGGAU
Molecule: non-coding RNA, 46 nt
Filed under: Schistosoma margrebowiei
Lineage: Eukaryota; Metazoa; Platyhelminthes; Trematoda; Strigeidida; Schistosomatidae
Source: RNAcentral